Molecule: small nuclear RNA, 103 nt
Organism: Oryctolagus cuniculus (rabbit)
Lineage: Eukaryota; Metazoa; Chordata; Mammalia; Lagomorpha; Leporidae
Source: Ensembl
GUUCUUGGGCAGCACAUAGACUAAAAUUGGAGCAAUAUAGGGGAUAUUAACAUGACUCCUGUGCAAAGCUGACAUGCAAAUUCAUGAAGCAUUCCAUAUUUUU